Molecule: long non-coding RNA, 841 nt
Organism: Panicum virgatum (switchgrass)
Lineage: Eukaryota; Viridiplantae; Streptophyta; Magnoliopsida; Poales; Poaceae
Exons: 3
Source: RefSeq, a predicted model, not a curated record
UCGGCUCCCAUCCCGCCCCAGCGAUUCAUUCCGCUCGCCGUGUCAUCGCCCGUUCCGAGUUCCGCCGCCGCCGCCCGUUGCGAGCUCCUCCGCCGUCGUCGCGGUCGACCGCCGGCCGGAGUCCUACGACCUGAUCCACCUAACGCGCGAGAACUCAUACAUCAGUUCUCCAUCAUUCGUGACUCCGUUCCAAGCUCCGCGAGGUCGCUCCGCUCCCGUCGCCGUCGCCCCCAGGUGCAAGCCGGACUGCCGGGCAACAUCGAUGGUUGAAAAGAUUCUCCAACUAGCUGCCCAUAUCACCUGCAAAAAUCACAUACCCCGCGCACCAAAUUGCUCAAUCCCUCCAAUUUCCUUAUCCAUCCUUCAAUCCCCACGGCCACAGAUCCAUUCCAUCGCAAUCGCUACACACUGCGUCCACAGAUCAAGAAGCGUAGUGCACAGGAGAAGGAGAAUCAAAUUGGUUUGCUUCUUUUAUUUUCCACGUAAACAUCUAUUUAUUUCAGUUUGUCGCAAUCAACUAACAUUGGAAUCGCAUUUGUGGCGUUCUACCACGCUGGCACCAGCUUCCUAUCCCUCUCCUUACUGUCUUCUUGGCUGUGAAUCUGGAAGCCCAAUUUUUGGACGAUGCAGGUUAGUCCCAAAUCAACCUUUCUCCUUAAUUAAUCCAAAUUUCUACACCACCAUGGUGUCGUGGAUUCAAUCUAGCUGUGGUCUGACUGCCUAUAAGGUUGUAGCAGCAGUUGCAUAUGUGCCGCUCGCCGCCGGCGGAUGGGGUCACGUGCAGAGGCAAUGGGAUGGGAAGCGACAUCACCGUGUGCUUCACCAUCUAGGGAGCCUGUAC